CCCCCCCCACACACACACACACGCACACACACACACAAACAAAGAGGCGUUAGGCUGAGACGCUGAAAGUCCGGAUUUAAAGUGCAGAAAAUGAAGCCAUUGAAUCUGCCUGUCCAUGACGUACAAAGACACACUAUGAGCCAGUAUGAUCCGACCAGACCUUACAUCAGCAUUGAGGAGUUGUCGGAGAAGAAAGAGGCUGAUUGAAGCGGGACAGAUGACAUGGAUCCAUCCUUCCACAGCCAGGAGUGCACCGACCUGUGUCCCACACUUCAUAUAAGACUGGAAGCUACACUGAUCUCACAGCUACACACCACAGACGUCUACACACUGGAGAAGAGUCCCACAAAGAAGUCAUGACCCAGAGGCUGCAGAGAAACAUUUCAAGCCUCAUCUGAGUUUUUGUACAAUAUUUUUGCUGUAUGUAAAUAAAGCUUUCACUCCACAUA
This is a long non-coding RNA of Limanda limanda (common dab), 449 nucleotides long. RefSeq lists it as uncharacterized. The record is from RefSeq and is a predicted model, not a curated record. Lineage: Eukaryota; Metazoa; Chordata; Actinopteri; Pleuronectiformes; Pleuronectidae. The transcript has 3 exons.